Molecule: unclassified non-coding RNA, 1036 nt
Filed under: uncultured fungus
Lineage: Eukaryota; Fungi
Description: sequence contains 18S rRNA gene, ITS1, 5.8S rRNA gene, ITS2, 28S rRNA gene
Source: RNAcentral
UGCCGACGUCCUCAGCGAACGCUGCCUAUGAAACCAAGGCCGUCCGGAUCCUCCCGAUUGGUGGUGGUGCCAUCCCAGUGGCCAAUCAGCUCAAAGUUCAAUUCCAGCUCAACCAGGAUCCCUCUACCUCUGGGCUGCUCCGAGCCCCCGGCAACGGGGCCGUUUCCCCGACCCUCGCACAAGCCGCGCAGCGCGACGCCUUUCAAGCGAUCCCACCGGACGAGGCAUCGACGAACCUGCUCCGCCGUGGGCCAAGCGGACAAGUCCCCGGCGCUCUUCGCGAGGGGCGGGUCGGCAUGGACGUCAUGAUCCAGCGGGCGUCGAUGAUGCAAGAUUCGACACCGGCCCGCUUCCCGAUUCUGCCCGCGUUCCAGGACGGGCAGCCCGCCCCGCCCACACCGACAUUGCCGAUCCCGGCGCCGGCCCCAAUUCCACCGCCGCCCGCCAUGGCGAUCCCCGCGCCAGCGACCCAGUCGUUCAUUGUCGUGCCGCAAACGACCUCGCCGGUCAACGUCACCGUGCCAAUCGCGAAUGAGUUACCCAAGAAACAUGGCCUCUUCAACCGCCGCGACCAGAUCACACCGGCCCGUCGACCGCUGGUCCAGCGAAUCCUUAACGGUCCUUGAUAGGGCGAAACCAACCCGAGUCAGGCGCGCCCCGCGAGUGUGGAGCACGACCGGCGGGGGUGCAGCGAGCAUGCGCAGGAGUCGUUUCGGUGAACAAGAUAAGCAGGCGGCAGGGGGUUGGCAAGGCGACGCUGGGGCAAUCGUGACGUGACGCCGGAGUGCGCGGCCGUCGGAGUCUGAGACCAGGUCCCGGGGGAGGUCGGGGUCGUCGGGGGUGAAGAGCUGGAAGACCGACGAAUCGAUGGUGAGGAAGUUGCCCUUGGGAGUCGUUCGGUUGAAGAUCUCGGCGAAGAAGCGGGGGCUGGGUGUGUUUCGCGAGUCACAGUAAGGCAUGCGGAAGGCGACCGGCCGGUUGCCAGGGAUGCUCGCCAGCAAGUCGAUGCCCCCGAAGACGUUCCGCUCGGCCUCCG